CCUACGGGUGGCAGCAGUGGGGAAUAUUGGGCAAUGGAGGCAACUCUGACCCAGCAACGCCGCGUGAAUGAUGAAGGUCUUCGGAUUGUAAAGCUCUGUGAUGGGGGAUGAACACAAUGAUGGUACCCCAAUCGCAAGCUACGGCUAACUACGUGACAGCAGCCGCCGUAAUACGUAGGUGGCAAGCGUUAUCCGGAAUGACUGGGCGUAAAGGGCGCGUAGGUGGUUUAGUAAGUUGGCGGUGUAAUUCCGGGGCUCAACCUCGGCGGGACCGCCAAAACUAGUAGACUAGAGUGCAGGAGAGGUGAGUGGAAUUCCAAGUGUAGCGGUGGAAUGCGUAGAUAUAAGGAGGAACAUCAGGGGCGAAGGCGACUUACUGGUCUGUAACUGACGCUGAGGCACGAAAGCGUGGGGAGCAAACAGGAUUAGAUACCCGGGUAGUC
Molecule: ribosomal RNA, 443 nt
Filed under: uncultured bacterium
Lineage: Bacteria
Description: partial 16S ribosomal RNA
Rfam family: Bacterial small subunit ribosomal RNA
Source: RNAcentral